UUAACCCCUUCGAGCUUAAACAGUUGAAUCUCGGCUUGAAAUAAAGCGAGAUGUCAAAAAUCUUUUUUCUUGAAACCCGGAAAAUUUUGAUAAUUGUUCUUUUGCCGUAAAAGUCAAGAGCAUUCACUUAGGGUGAGUAAAAGAAAUAAGUUGGGGAGAACGAAAAUGAGAAUCGGUAAGUGCCACAACUCUUGAAAAACCGAGCAAGCAUUGAAAAAAAAAAUAUAAAAUAUAGAAAAGAGAAACAUCUGUUUUGUAAAUAUGAUGUGAAAGAA
Molecule: long non-coding RNA, 275 nt
Filed under: Lathyrus oleraceus (garden pea)
Lineage: Eukaryota; Viridiplantae; Streptophyta; Magnoliopsida; Fabales; Fabaceae
Description: Pisum sativum (pea) long non-coding RNA (PSAT_LNC015708)
Source: RNAcentral